Molecule: long non-coding RNA, 26284 nt
Filed under: Setaria viridis
Lineage: Eukaryota; Viridiplantae; Streptophyta; Magnoliopsida; Poales; Poaceae
Description: long non-coding RNA (SVIR_LNC005616)
Source: RNAcentral
GAAGAGGUUCAAAAGCUAGAAUCAAAAUCAGUAGCAAUUCAAAAUCACUUCAAAAACUCUAAGUGCUCUAGCAAUUUAUACUUGGUUACGCUUGAUUAGGAGGCUUAGACACUAAUCCAGCAAGUGAAACGUCAAAUUUGUCCUUGAAAGCUCAAUUUUCGGUUAAAUUCAAAACAUGAAAUUUUGUAUAAAAACCUAAAUUUUUGUCAAACUAAAAUUUGUAGAGUUUUCCAUUUCUAGCAACCUUUCUAAUUAGCACUUUGGAUGGUUUCGAGAGGAAGAGGUUCAAAAGCUAGAAUGAAAAUCACUAGCAAUUCAAAAUCACUUCAAAAACUCUAAGUUCUCUUGCAAAUUAUACUGGGUUAUGCUUGAUUAGGAGGCUUAGACACUAAUCCAGCAAGUCAAAAGUCAAAUUUGCCCUUAAAAGCUCAUUUUUGGGUUAAAUUCGAAACUUGAAAUUUCGUAUAGAAACUUAAGAUUCUAUCAAACUAAAAGUUGUAGAUUUUUACAUUUCUAGCAAUUAUUCCUAUUAGCACUUUGAAUGGUUUGGAGAGUAAAAGGUUCAAAAGCUAGAAUGAAAAUUAGUAGCAAUUCAAAAUCACUUCAAAAACUCUAUGUGCUCUAGCAAAUUAUACUAGGUUACGCUUGAUUAGGAGGCUUAGACACUAAUCCAGCAAGUGAAAAGUCAAAUUUGCCCUCAACAACUCAAUUUUGGGUUAAAUUCGAAACUUGAAAUUUCGUAUAGAAACUUAAGAUUCUGUCAAACUAAAAGUUGUAGAUUUUUACAUUUCCAGCAACUAUUCCUAUUAGCACUUUGAAUGGUUUGGAGAGGAAGAGGUUCAAAAGCUAGAAUGAAAAUCAGUAGCAAUUCAAAAUCGCUUCAAAAACUCUAAGUGCUGUAGCAAAUUAUACUUGGUUACGCUUGAUUAGGAGGCUUAGACACUAAUCCAGCAAGUGAAAAGUCAAAUUUACCCUUAAAAGCUCAAUUUUGCGUUAAAUUCGAAACAUGAAAUUUUGUAUAGAAACUUAAGAUUUUGUCAAACGAAAAGUUGUAGAGUUUUACAUUUCUAGCAACUUUUCUUAUUAGCACUUUGAAUGGUUUGGACAGGAAGAGGUUCAAAAGCUAGAAUCAAAAUCACUAGCAAUUCAAAAUCACUUCAAAAACUCUAAGUGCUCUAGCAAAUUAUACUUGGUUACGCUUAAUUAGGAGGCUUAGACACCAAUCCAACAAGUGAAAAGUCAAAUUUGCCUUUAAAAGCUCAAUUUUGCGUUAAAUUCGAAACAUGAAAUUUUGUAUAGAAACUUAAGAUUUUGUCAACUAAAAGUUGUAGAGUUUGACAUUUAUAGCAACUUUUAUUAUUAGCACUUUAAACGGUUUCGAGAAGAAAAGGUUUUAAAAGCUAGAAUCAAAAUCAGUAGCAAUUCAAAAUCACUUCAAACACUCUAAGUGCUCUAGCAAAUUAUACUUGGUUACGCUUGAUUAGGAGGCUUAGACACUAAUCCAGCAAGUGAAAAGUCAAAUUUGCCCUUGAAAGCUCAAUUUUGGGUUAAAUUCGAAACAUGGAAUUUUGUAUAGAAACUGAAGUUUUGGUCAAACGAAAUGUUGUAGAGUUUAACAUUUCUAGCAACUAUUGUUAUUAGCACUUUGAUUGGUUUGGAGAGGAAGAGGUUCAAAAGCUAGAAUCAAAAUCAGCAGCAAUUCAAAAUCACUUCAAAAACUCUAAGUGCUCUAGCAAUUUAUACUUGGUUACGCUUAAUUAGGAGGCUUAGACACUAAUCCGACAAGUGAAAAGUCAAAUUUGCCCUUAAAAGCUCAAUUUUGCGUUAAAUUUGAAACAUGAAAUUUUGUAUAGAAACUUAAGAUUUUGUCAAACUAAAAGUUGUAGAGUUUGACAUUUAUAGCAACUUUUCUUAUUAGCACUUUGAACGGUUUCGAGAAGAAAAGAUUCAAAAGCUAGAAUCAAAAUCAGUAGCAAUUCAAAAUCACUUCAAACACUCUAAGUGCUCUAGCAAUUUAUACUUCGUUACGCUUGAUUAGGAGGCUUAGACCCUAAUCCAGCAAGUGAAAAGUCAAAUUUGUCCUUGAAAGCUCAAUUUUGGGUUAAAUUCAAAACUUGAAAUUUUGUAUAAAAACCUAAAUUUUUGUCAAACGAAAAGUUGUAGAGUUUUAUAUGUCUAGCAACUUUUCUAAUUAGCACUUUGGAUGGUUUCGAGAGGAAGAGGUUCAAAAGCUAGAAUGAAAAUUAGUAGUAAUUCAAAAUCACUUCAAAAAGUCUAUGUUCUCUAGCAAAUUAUACUUGGUUAUGCUUGAUUUGGAGGCUUAGACACUAAUCCAGCAAGUCAAAAGUCAAAUUUGCCCUUGAAAGCUCAAUUUUGGGUUAAAUUCGAAACUUGAAAUUUCGUAUAGAAACUUAAGAUUCUGUCAAACUAAAAGUUGUAGAUUUUUACAUUUCCAGCAACUAUUCCUAUUAGCACUUUGUAUGGUUUGGAGAGGAAGAGGUUCAAAAGCUAGAAUGAAAAUCAGUAGCAAUUCAAAAUCGCUUCAAAAACUCUAAGUGUUGUAGCAAAUUAUACUUGGUUACGCUUGAUUACGAGGCUUAGACACUAAUCCAGCAAGUGAAAAGUCAAAUUUGCCCUUAAAAGCUCAAUUUUGGGUUAAAUUCGAAACAUGAAAUUUUGUAUAGAAACUUAAGAUUUUGUCAAACGAAAAGUUUUAGAGUUUUACAUUUCUAGCAACUUUUCUUAUUAGCACUUUGAAUGGUUUGGACAGGAAGAGGUUCAAAAGCUAGAAUCAAAAUCACUAGCAAUUCAAAAUCACUUCAAAAACUCUAAGUGCUCUAGCAAAUUAUACUUGGUUACGCUUGAUUAGGAGGCUUAGAUACCAAUCCAACAAGUGAAAAGUCAAAUUUGCCCUUAAAAGCUCAAUUUUGCGUUAAAUUCGAAAUACGAAAUUUUGUAUAGAAACUUAAGAUUUUGUCAACUAAAAGUUGUAGAGUUUGACAUUUAUAGCAACUUUUCUUAUUAGCACUUUAAACGGUUUCGAGAAGAAAAGGUUUUAAAAGCUAGAAUCAAAAUCAGUAGCAAUUCAAAAUCACUUCAAACACUCUAAGUGCUCUAGCAAAUUAUACUUGGUUACGCUUGAUUAGGAGGCUUAGACACUAAUCCAGCAAGUGAAAAGUCAAAUUUGCCCUUGAAAGCUCAACUUUGGGUUAAAUUCGAAACAUGGAAUUUUGUAUAGAAACUGAAGUUUUGGUCAAACGAAAUGUUGUAGAGUUUUACAUUUCUAGCAACUUUUGUUAUUGGCACUUUGAAUGGUUUGGAGAGGAAGAGGUUCAAAAGCUAGAAUUAAAAUCAGCAGCAAUUCAAAAUCACUUCAAACACUCUAAGUGCUCUAGCAAUUUAUACUUGGUUACGCUUGAUUAGGAGGCUUAGACACUAAUCCGACAAGUGAAAAGUCAAAUUUGCCCUUAAAAGCUCAAUUUUGCGUUAAAUUUGAAACAUGAAAUUUUGUAUAGAAACUUAAGAUUUUGUCAAACUAAAAGUUGUAGAGUUUGACAUUUAUAGCAACUUUUCUUAUUAGCACUUUGAACGGUUUCGAGAAGAAAAGAUUCAAAAGCUAGAAUCAAAAUCAGUAGCAAUUCAAAAUCACUUCAAACACUCUAAGUGCUCUAGCAAUUUAUACUUCCUUACGCUUGAUUAGGAGGCUUAGACCCUAAUCCAGCAAGUGAAAAGUCAAAUUUGUCCUUGAAAGCUCAAUUUUGGGUUAAAUUCAAAACUUGAAAUUUUGUAUAAAAACCCAAAUUUUUGUCAAACGAAAAGUUGUAGAGUUUUAUAUUUCUAGCAACUUUUCUAAUUAGCACUUUGGAUGGUUUCGAGAGGAAGAGGUUCAAAAGCUAGAAUGAAAAUUAGUAGCAAUUCAAAAUCACUUCAAAAAGUCUAUGUUCUCUAGCAAAUUAUACUUGGUUAUGCUUGAUUUGGAGGCUUAGACACUAAUCCAGCAAGUCAAAAGUCAAAUUUGCCCUUGAAAGCUCAAUUUUCGGUUAAAUUCGAAACUUGAAAUUUCGUACAGAAACUUAAGAUUCUGUCAAAUGAAAGGUUGUAGAGUUUUACAUUUCUAGCAACUUUUCGUAUUAGCACUUUGAAUGGUUUGGAGAAAAAGAGGUCCAAAAGCUAGAAUCAAAAUCAGUAGCAAUUCAAAAUCACCUCAAAAACUCUAAAUGCUCUAGCAAAUUAUACUUGGUUACGCUUGAUUAGGAGGCUUAGACACUAAUCCAACAAGUGAAAAGUCAAAUUUGCCCUUAACAACUCAAUUUUGGGUUAAAUUUGAAACCUGAAAUUUCGUAUAGAAACUUAAGAUUUUGUCAAACGAAAAGUUUUAGAGUUUUACAUUUCGAGCAACUUUUCUUAUUAGCACUUUGAAUGGUUUGGAGAGGAAGAGGUUCAAAAGCUAGAAUCAAAAUCAAUAGCAAUUCAAAAUCACUUCAAAACCUCUAAGUGCUCUAGCAAAUUAUACUUGGUUACGCUUGAAUAGGAGGCUUAGACACUAAUCCAACAAGUAAAAAGUCAAGUUUUCCCUUAAAAGCUCAAUUUUGCGUUAAACUCGAAACAUGAAAUUUUGAAUAGAAACUUAAGAUUUUGUCAAACUAAAAGUUGUAGAGUUUGACAUUUAUAGCAACUUUUCUUAUUAGCACUUUGAAUGGUUUCGAGAAGAAAAGGUUCAAAAGCUAGAAUCAAAAUCAGUAGCAAUUCAAAAUCACUUCAAAAAGUCUAAGUUCUCUAGCAAAUUAUACACGAUUAUGCUUGAUUAGGAGGCUUAGACACUAAUCCAGCAAGUCAAAAGUCAAAUUUGCCCUUCAACGCUCAAUUUUGGGUUAAAUUCGAAACUUAAAAUUUCGUACAGAAACUUAAGAUUCUGUCAAACCGAAAGUUGUAGAUUUUUACAUUUCUAGCAACUAUUCCAAUUAGGACUUUGAAUGGUUUGGAGAGUAAGAGGUUCAAAAGCUAGAAUGAAAAUUAGUAGCAAUUCAAAAUCACUUCAAAAAUUCUAAGUGCUCUAGCAAAUUAUACUUGGUUAGGCUUGAUGAGGAGGCUUAGACACUAAACCAGCAAGUGAAAAGUCAAAUUUGCCCUUGAAAGCUCAAUUUUGGGUUAAAUUCGAAACUUGAAAUUUUGUACAGAAACUUAAGUUUUUGUCAAACGAAAAGUUGUAGAGUUUUACAUUUCUAGCAACUUUUCUAAUUAGGACUUUGGAUGGUUUGGAGAGGAAGAGGUUCAAAAUCUAGAAUCAAAAUCAGUAGCAAUUCAAAAUCACUUCAAACACUCUAAGUGCUCUAGCAAAUUAUACUUGGUUACGCUUGAUUAGGAGGCUUAGACACUAAUCCAGUAACUAUUCCUAUUAGCACUUUGAAUGGUUUGGAGAGGAAGAGGUUCAAAAGCUAGAAUGAAAAUCAGUAGCAAUUCAAAAUCGCUUCAAAAACUCUAAGUGCUCUAGCAAAUUAUACUUGGUUACGCUUGAUUAGGAGGCUUAGACACCAAUCCAACAAGUGAAAAGUCAAAUUUGCCCUUAAAAGCUCAAUUUUGCGUUAAAUUCGAAAUACGAAAUUUUGUAUAGAAACUUAAGAUUUUGUCAACUAAAAGUUGUAGAGUUUGACAUUUAUAGCAACUUUUCUUAUUAGCACUUUAAACGGUUUCGAGAAGAAAAGGUUUUAAAAGCUAGAAUCAAAAUCAGUAGCAAUUCAAAAUCACUUCAAACACUCUAAGUGCUCUAGCAAAUUAUACUUGGUUACGCUUGAUUAGGAGGCUUAGACACUAAUCCAGCAAGUGAAAAGUCAAAUUUGCCCUUGAAAGCUUAAUUUUGGGUUAAAUUCCAAACUUGAAAUUUCGUAUAGAAACUUAAGAUUCUGUCAAACUGAAAGUUGUUGAUUUUUACAUUUCUAGCAACUAUUCCUAUUAGCACUUUGAAUGGUUUGGAGAAUAAGACGUUCAAAAGGUAGAAUGAAAAUCAGUAGCAAUUCAAAAUCUCUUCAAAAACUCUAAGUGCUCUAGCAAAUUAUACUUGGUUAGGCUUGAUUAGGUGGCUUAGACACCAAUCCAACAAGUGAAAAGUCAAAUUUGCCCUUAACAACUCAAUUUUGGGUUAAAUUCGAAACCUGAAAUUUCGUACAGAAACUUAAGAUUCUGUCAAACGAAAGGUUGUAGAGUUUUACAUUUCUAGCAACUUUUUGUCGUAGCACUUUGAAUGGUUUGGAGAAAAAGAGGUCCAAAAGCUAGAAUCAAAAUCAGUAGCAAUUCAAAAUCACUUCAAAAACUCUAAGUGCUCUAGCAAAUUAUACUUGGUUACGCUUGAUUAGGAGGCUUAGACACUAAUCCAGCAAGUCAAAAGUCAAAUUUGCCCUUGAAAGAUGCAUUUUGGGUUAAAUUCGAAACUUGAAAUUUCGUAUAGAAACUUAAGAUUCUAUCAAACUAAAAGUUGUAGAUUUUUACAUUUCUAGCAAUUAAUCCUAUUAGCACUUUGAAUGGUUUGGAGAGUAAGAGGUUCAAAAGCUAGAGUGAAAAUCAGUAGCAAUUCAAAAUCACUUCAAACACUCUAAGUGCUCUAGCAAUUUAUACUUGGUUACGCUUGAUUAGGAGGCUUAGACGCUAAUCCAGCAAGUGAAAAGUCAAAUUUGCCCUGAACAACUAAAUUUUGUGUUAAAUUCGAAACAUGAAAUUUUCUAUAGAAACAUAAGAUUUUGUCAAACUAAAAGUUGUAGAGUUUGACAUUUCUAGAAACUUUUGUUAUUAGCACUUUGAAUGGUUUGGAGAGGAAGAGGUCGAAAAGCUAGAAUCAAAAUCAGUAGCAAUUCAAAAUCACUUCAAAAACUCUAAGUGCUCGAGCAAAUUAUACUUGGUUACACUUGAUUAGGAGGCUGAGACACUAAACCAGCAAGUGAAAAGUCAAAUUUGCCCUUGAAAACUCAAUUUUGGGUUAAAUUCGAAACUUGAAAUUUUGUACAGAAACUUAAGUUUUUGUCAAACGAAAAGUUGUAGAGUUUUACAUUUCUAGCAACUUUUCUAAUUAGGACUUUGGAUGGUUUGGAGAGGAAGAGGUUCAAAAUCUAGAAUCAAAAUCAGUAGCAAUUCAAAAUCACUUCAAACACUCUAAGUGCUCUAGCAAAUUAUACUUGGUUACGCUUGAUUAGGAGGCUUAGACACUAAUCCAGCAACUAUUCCUAUUAGCACUUUGAAUGGUUUGGAGAGGAAGAGGUUCAAAAGCUAGAAUGAAAAUCAGUAGCAAUUCAAAAUCGCUUCAAAAACUCCAAGUGCUGUAGCAAAUUAUACUUGGUUACGCUUGAUUAGGAGGCUUAGACACUAAUCCAGCAAGUGAAAAGUCAAAUUUGCCCUUAAAAGCUCAAUUUUGGGUUAAAUUCGAAACAUGAAAUUUUGUAUAGAAACUUAAGAUUUUGUCAAACGAAAAGUUUUAGAGUUUUACAUUUCUAGCAACUUUUCUUAUUAGCACUUUGAAUGGUUUGGACAGGAAGAGGUUCAAAAGCUAGAAUCAAAAUCACUAGCAAUUCAAAAUCACUUCAAAAACUCUAAGUGCUCUAGCAAAUUAUACUUGGUUACGCUUGAUUAGGAGGCUUAGACACCAAUCCAACAAGUGAAAAGUCAAAUUUGCCCUUAAAAGCUCAAUUUUGCGUUAAAUUCGAAACAUGAAAUUUUGUAUAGAAACUUAAGAUUUUGUCAACUAAAAGUUGUAGAGUUUGACAUUUAUAGCAACUUUUCUUAUUAGCACUUUAAACGGUUUCGAGAAGAAAAGGUUUUAAAAGCUAGAAUCAAAAUCAGUAGCAAUUCAAAAUCACUUCAAACACUCUAAGUGCUCUAGCAAAUUAUACUUGGUUACGCUUGAUUAGGAGGCUUAGACACUAAUCCAGCAAGUGAAAAGUCAAAUUUGCCCUUGAAAGCUUAAUUUUGGGUUAAAUUCCAAACUUGAAAUUUCGUAUAGAAACUUAAGAUUCUGUCAAACUGAAAGUUGUUGAUUUUUACAUUUCUAGCAACUAUUCCUAUUAGCACUUUGAAUGGUUUGGAGAAUAAGACGUUCAAAAGGUAGAAUGAAAAUCAGUAGCAAUUCAAAAUCUCUUCAAAAACUCUAAGUGCUCUAGCAAAUUAUACUUGGUUAGGCUUGAUUAGGAGGCUUAGACACCAAUCCAACAAGUGAAAAGUCAAAUUUGCCCUUAACAACUCAAUUUUGGGUUAAAUUCGAAACCUGAAAUUUCGUACAGAAACUUAAGAUUCUGUCAAACGAAAGGUUGUAGAGUUUUACAUUUCUAGCAACUUUUUGUCGUAGCACUUUGAAUGGUUUGGAGAAAAAGAGGUCCAAAAGCUAGAAUCAAAAUCAGUAGCAAUUCAAAAUCACUUCAAAAACUCUAAGUGCUCUAGCAAAUUAUACAUGGUUACGCUUGAUUAGGAGGCUUAGACACUAAUCCAGCAAGUCAAAAGUCAAAUUUGCCCUUGAAAGAUGCAUUUUGGGUUAAAUUCGAAACUUGAAAUUUCGUAUAGAAACUUAAGAUUCUAUCAAACUAAAAGUUGUAGAUUUUUACAUUUCUAGCAAUUAUUCCUAUUAGCACUUUGAAUGGUUUGGAGAGUAAGAGGUUCAAAAGCUAGAGUGAAAAUUAGUAGCAAUUCAAAAUCACUUCAAACACUCUAAGUGCUCUAGCAAAUUAUACUUUGUUACGCUUGAUUAGGAGGCUUAGACACUAAUCCAGCAACUAUUCCUAUUAGCACUUUGAAUGGUUUGGAGAGGAAGAGGUUCAAAAGCUAGAAUGAAAAUCAGUAGCAAUUCAAAAUCGCUUCAAAAACUCCAAGUGCUGUAGCAAAUUAUACUUGGUUACGCUUGAUUAGGAGGCUUAGACACUAAUCCAGCAAGUGAAAAGUCAAAUUUGCCCUUAAAAGCUCAAUUUUGGGUUAAAUUCGAAACAUGAAAUUUUGUAUAGAAACUUAAGAUUUUGUCAAACGAAAAGUUUUAGAGUUUUACAUUUCUAGCAACUUUUCUUAUUAGCACUUUGAAUGGUUUGGACAGGAAGAGGUUCAAAAGCUAGAAUCAAAAUCACUAGAAAUUCAAAAUCACUUCAAAAACUCUAAGUGCUCUAGCAAAUUAUACUUGGUUACGCUUGAUUAGGAGGCUUAGACACCAAUCCAACAAGUGAAAAGUCAAAUUUGCCCUUAAAAGCUCAAUUUUGCGUUAAAUUCGAAACAUGAAAUUUUGUAUAGAAACUUAAGAUUUUGUCAACUAAAAGUUGUAGAGUUUGACAUUUAUAGCAACUUUUCUUAUUAGCACUUUAAACGGUUUCGAGAAGAAAAGGUUUUAAAAGCUAGAAUCAAAAUCAGUAGCAAUUCAAAAUCACUUCAAACACUCUAAGUGCUCUAGCAAAUUAUACUUGGUUACGCUUGAUUAGGAGGCUUAGACACUAAUCCAGCAAGUGAAAAGUCAAAUUUGCCCUUGAAAGCUUAAUUUUGGGUUAAAUUCCAAACUUGAAAUUUCGUAUAGAAACUUAAGAUUCUGUCAAACUGAAAGUUGUUGAUUUUUACAUUUCUAGCAACUAUUCCUAUUAGCACUUUGAAUGGUUUGGAGAAUAAGACGUUCAAAAGGUAGAAUGAAAAUCAGUAGCAAUUCAAAAUCUCUUCAAAAACUCUAAGUGCUCUAGCAAAUUAUACUUGGUUAGGCUUGAUUAGGAGGCUUAGACACCAAUCCAACAAGUGAAAAGUCAAAUUUGCCCUUAACAACUCAAUUUUGGGUUAAAUUCGAAACCUGAAAUUUCGUACAGAAACUUAAGAUUCUGUCAAACGAAAGGUUGUAGAGUUUUACAUUUCUAGCAACUUUUUGUCGUAGCACUUUGAAUGGUUUGGAGAAAAAGAGGUCCAAAAGCUAGAAUCAAAAUCAGUAGCAAUUCAAAAUCACUUCAAAAACUCUAAGUGCUCUAGCAAAUUAUACUUGGUUACGCUUGAUUAGGAGGCUUAGACACUAAUCCAGCAAGUCAAAAGUCAAAUUUGCCCUUGAAAGAUGCAUUUUGGGUUAAAUUCGAAACUUGAAAUUUCGUAUAGAAACUUAAGAUUCUAUCAAACUAAAAGUUGUAGAUUUUUACAUUUCUAGCAAUUAUUCCUAUUAGCACUUUGAAUGGUUUGGAGAGUAAGAGGUUCAAAAGCUAGAGUGAAAAUCAGUAGCAAUUCAAAAUCACUUCAAACACUCUAAGUGCUCUAGCAAUUUAUACUUGGUUACGCUUGAUUAGGAGGCUUAGACGCUAAUCCAGCAAGUGAAAAGUCAAAUUUGCCCUGAACAACUAAAUUUUGUGUUAAAUUCGAAACAUGAAAUUUUCUAUAGAAACAUAAGAUUUUGUCAAACUAAAAGUUGUAGAGUUUGACAUUUCUAGAAACUUUUGUUAUUAGCACUUUGAAUGGUUUGGAGAGGAAGAGGUCGAAAAGCUAGAAUCAAAAUCAGUAGCAAUUCAAAAUCACUUCAAAAACUCUAAGUGCUCGAGCAAAUUAUACUUGGUUACACUUGAUUAGGAGGCUGAGACACUAAACCAGCAAGUGAAAAGUCAAAUUUGCCCUUGAAAACUCAAUUUUGGGUUAAAUUCGAAACUUGAAAUUUUGUACAGAAACUUAAGUUUUUGUCAAACGAAAAGUUGUAGAGUUUUACAUUUCUAGCAACUUUUCUAAUUAGGACUUUGGAUGGUUUGGAGAGGAAGAGGUUCAAAAUCUAGAAUCAAAAUCAGUAGCAAUUCAAAAUUACUUCAAACACUCUAAGUGCUCUAGCAAAUUAUACUUGGUUACGCUUGAUUAGGAGGCUUAGACACUAAUCCAGCAACUAUUCCUAUUAGCACUUUGAAUGGUUUGGAGAGGAAGAGGUUCAAAAGCUAGAAUGAAAAUCAGUAGCAAUUCAAAAUCGCUUCAAAAACUCCAAGUGCUGUAGCAAAUUAUACUUGGUUACGCUUGAUUAGGAGGCUUAGACACUAAUCCAGCAAGUGAAAAGUCAAAUUUGCCCUUAAAAGCUCAAUUUUGGGUUAAGUUCGAAACAUGAAAUUUUGUAUAGAAACUUAAGAUUUUGUCAAACGAAAAGUUUUAGAGUUUUACAUUUCUAGCAACUUUUCUUAUUAGCACUUUGAAUGGUUUGGACAGGAAGAGGUUCAAAAGCUAGAAUCAAAAUCACUAGCAAUUCAAAAUCACUUCAAAAACUCUAAGUGCUCUAGCAAAUUAUACUUGGUUACGCUUGAUUAGGAGGCUUAGACACCAAUCCAACAAGUGAAAAGUCAAAUUUGCCCUUAAAAGCUCAAUUUUGCGUUAAAUUCGAAACAUGAAAUUUUGUAUAGAAACUUAAGAUUUUGUCAACUAAAAGUUGUAGAGUUUGACAUUUAUAGCAACUUUUCUUAUUAGCACUUUAAACGGUUUCGCGAAGAAAAGGUUUUAAAAGCUAGAAUCAAAAUCAGUAGCAAUUCAAAAUCACUUCAAACACUCUAAGUGCUCUAGCAAAUUAUACUUGGUUACGCUUGAUUAGGAGGCUUAGACACUAAUCCAGCAAGUGAAAAGUCAAAUUUUCCCUUGAAAGCUCAAUUUUGGGUUAAAUUCGAAACAUGGAAUUUUGUAUAGAAACUGAAGUUUUUGUCAAACGAAAUGUUGUAGAGUUUUACAUUUCUAGCAACUUUUGUUAUUAGCACUUUGAAUGGUUUGGAGAGGAAGAGGUUCAAAAGCUAGAAUCAAAUCAGCAGCAAUUCAAAAUCACUUCAAACACUCUAAGUGCUCUAGCAAUUUAUACUUGGUUACGCUUGAUUAGGAGGCUUAGACACUAAUCCAACAAGUGAAAAGUCAAAUUUGCCCAUAAAAGCUCAAUUUUGCGUUAAAUUCGAAACAUGAAAUUUUGUAUAGAAACUUAAGAUUUUGUCAAACUAAAAGUUGUAGAGUUUGACAUUUAUAGCAACUUUUCUUAUUAGCACUUUGAACGGUUUCGAGAAGAAAAGAUUCAAAAGCUAGAAUCAAAAUAAGUAGCAAUUCAAAAUCACUUCAAACACUCUAAGUGCUCUAGCAAAUUAUACUUGGUUACGCUUGAUUAGGAGGCUUAGACACUAAUCCAGCAAGUGAAAAGUCAGAUUUGCCCUUGAAAGCUCAGUUUUGGGUUAAAUUCGAAACAUGGAAUUUUGUAUAGAAACUAAAGUUUUUGUCAAACGAAAUGUUGUAGAGUUUUACAUUUCUAGCAACUUUUGUUAUUAGCACUUUGAAUGGUUUGGAGAGGAAGAGGUUCAAAAGCUAGAAUCAAAAUCAGCAGCAAUUCAAAAUCACUUCAAACACUCUAAGUGCUCUAGCAAUUUAUACUUGGUUACGCUUGAUUAGGAGGCUUAGACACUAAUCCAACAAGUGAAAAGUCAAAUUUGCCCUUAAAAGCUCAAUUUUGCGUUAAAUUCGAAACAUGAAAUUUUGUAUAGAAACUUAAGAUUUUGUCAAACUAGAAGUUGUAGAGUUUGGCAUUUACAGCAACUUUUCUUAUUAGCACUUUGAACGGUUUCGAGAAGAAAAGAUUCAAAAGCUAGAAUCAAAAUCAGUAGCAAUUCAAAAUCACUUCAAACACUCUAAGUGCUCUAGCAAUUUAUACUUCGUUACACAUGAUUAGGAGGCUUAGACCCUAAUCCAGCAAGUGAAAAGUCAAAUUUGUCCUUGAAAGCUCAAUUUUGGGUUAAAUUCAAAACUUGAAAUUUUGUAUAAAAACCUAAAUUUUUGUCAAACGAAAAGUAGUAGAGUUUUAUAUUUCUAGCAACUUUUCUAAUUAGCACUUUGGAUGGUUUCGAGAGGAAGAGGUUCAAAAGCUAGAAUGAAAAUCAGUAGCAAUUCAAAAUCACUUCAAAAAGUCUAUGUUCUCUAGCAAAUUAUACUUGGUUAUGCUUGAUUUGGAGGCUUAGACACUAAUCCAGCAAGUCAAAAGUCAAAUUUGCCCUUGAAAGCACAAUUUUGGGUUAAAUUCGAAACUUGAAAUUUCGUACAGAAACUUAAGAUUCUGUCAAACGAAAGGUUGUAGAGUUUUACAUUUCUAGCAACUUUUCGUAUUAGCACUUUGAAUGGUUUGGAGAAAAAGAGGUCCAAAAGCUAGAAUCAAAAUCAGUAGCAAUUCAAAAUCACUUCAAAAACUCUAAAUGCUCUAGCAAAUUAUACUUGGUUACGCUUGAUUAGGAGGCUUACGCACUAAUCCAACAAGUGAAAAGUCAAAUUUGCCCUUAACAACUCAAUUUUGGGUUAAAUUCGAAACCUGAAAUUUCGUAUAGAAACUUAAGAUUUUGUCAAACGAAAAGUUGUAGAGUUUUACAUUUCGAGCAACUUUUCUUAUUAGCACUUUAAAUGGUUUGGAGAGGAAGAGGUUCAAAAGCUAGAAUCAAAAUCAGUAGCAAUUCAAAAUCACUUCAAAACCUCUAAGUGCUCUAGCAAAUUAUACUUGGUUACGCUUGAAUAGGAGGCUUAGACAGUAAUCCAACAAGUAAAAAGUCAAGUUUGCCCUUAAAAGCUCAAUUUUGCGUUAAACUCGAAACAUGAAAUUUUGAAUAGAAACUUAAGGUUUUGUCAAACUAAAAGUUGUAGAGUUUGACAUUUAUAGCAACUUUUCUUAUUAGCACUUUGAAUGGUUUCGAGAAGAAAAGGUUCAAAAGCUAGAAUCAAAAUCAGUAGCAAUUCAAAAUCACUUCAAACACUCUAAGUGCUUUAGCAAAUUAUACUUGGUUACGCUUGAUUAGGAGGCUUAGACACUAAUCCAGCAAGUGAAAAGUCAAAUUUGCCCUUGAAAGCUGAUUUUUUGGGUUAAAUUCGAAACUUGAAAUUUCGUAUAGAAACUUAAGAUUCUGUCAAACUGAAAGUUGUAGAUUUUUACAUUUCUAUCAACUAUUCCUAUUAGCACUUUGAAUGGUUUGGAGAGUAAGAGGUUCAAAAGCUAGAAUGAAAAUCAGUAGCAAUUCAAAAUCACUUCAAAAACUCUAAGUCCUCUAGCAAAUUAUACUUGAUUACGCUUGAUUAGGAGGCUUAGACACUAAUCCAACAAGUGAAAAGUCAAAUUUGCCCUUAACAAUUCAAUUUUGGGUUAAAUUCGAAACUUGAAAUUUCGUAUAGAAACUUAGGAUUCUAUCAAAUGAAAGGUUGUAGAGUUUUACAUUUCUAGCAACUUUUCGUAUUAGCACUUUGAAUGGUUUGGAGAACAAGAGGUCCAAAAGCUAGAAUCAAAAUCAGUAGCAAUUCAAAAUCACUUCAAAAACUCUAAGUGCUCUAGCAAAUUAUACUUGGUUACGGUUGAUUAGGAGGCUUAGACACUAAUCCAGUAAGUGAAAAGUCAAAUUUGCCCUCAACAACUCAAUUUUGGGUUAAAUUCGAAACUUGAAAUUUCGUAUAGAAACUUAAGAUUCUGUCAAACUAAAAGUUGUAGAUUUUUACCUUUCCAGCAACUAUUCCUAUUAGCACUUUGAAUGGUUUGGAGAGGAAGAGGUUCAAAAGCUAGAAUGAAAAUCAGUAGCAAUUCAAAAUCGCUUCAAAAAGUCUAAGUGCUCUAGCAAAUUAUACUUGGUUACGCUUGAUUAGGAGGCUUAGACACUAAUCCAGCAAGUGAAAAGUCAAAUUUGCCCUUAAAAGCUCAAUUUUGGGUUAAAUUCAAAACUUGAAAUUUUGUAUAGAAACCUAAAUUUUUGUCAAACUAAAAGUUGUAGAGUUUAAUAUUUCUUGCAACUUUUCUAAUUAGCACUUUGGAUGGUUUCGACAGGAAGAGGUUCAAAAGCUAGAAUGAAAAUCAGUAGCAAUUCAAAAUCACUUCAAAAAGUCUAAGUUCUCUAGCAAAUUAUACUUGAUUAUGCUUGAUUAGGAGGCUUAGACACUAAUCCAGCAAGGCAAAAGUCAAAUUUUCCCUUGAAAGCUCAAUUUUGGGUUAAAUUCGAAACUUGAAAUUUCGUACAGAAACUUAAGAUUCUGUCAAACCGAAAGUUGUAGAUUUUUACAUUUCUAGCAACUAUUCCAAUUAGCACUUUGAAUGGUUUGGAGAGUAAGAGGUUCAAAAGCUAGAAUGAAAAUCAGUAGCAAUUCAAAAUCACUUCAAAAAUUCUAAGUGCUCUAGCAAAUUAUACUUGGUUAUGCUUGAUUAGGAGGCUUAGACACUAAUCCAGCAAGUGAAAUGUCAAAUUUGCCCUUGAAAGCUCAAUUUUGGGUUAAAUUCGAAACUUGAAAUUUCGUAUAGAAACUUAAGAUUCUGUCAAACUGAAAGUUGUUGAUUUUUACAUUUCUAGCAACUAUUCCUAUUAGCACUUUGAAAGGUUUGGAGAAUAAGACGUUCAAAAGCUAGAAUGAAAAUCAGUAGCAAUUCAAAAUCUCUUCAAAAACUCUAAGUGCUCUAGCAAAUUAUACUUGGUUAGGCUUGAUUAGGAGGCUUAAACACCAAUCCAACAAGUGAAAAGUCAAAUUUGCCCUUAACAACUCAAUUUUGGGUUAAAUUCGAAACCUGAAAUUUCGUACAGAAACUUAAGAUUCUGUCAAACGAAAGGUUGUAGAAUUUUACAUUUCUAGCAACUUUUCGUCGUAGCACUUUGAAUGGUUUGGAGAAAAAGAGGUCCAAAAGCUAGAAUCAAAAUCAGUAGCAAUUCAAAAUCACUUCAAAAACUCUAAGUGCUCUAGCAAAUUAUACUUGGUUACGCUUGAUUAGGAGGCUUAGACACUAAUCCAGCAAGUGAAAAGUCAAAUUUGCCCUUAAAAGCUCAAUUUUGGGUUAAAUUCAAAACUUGAAAUUUUGUAUAGAAACCUAAAUUUUUGUCAAACUAAAAGUUGUAGAGUUUAAUAUUUCUUGCAACUUUUCUAAUUAGCACUUUGGAUGGUUUCGACAGGAAGAGGUUCAAAAGCUAGAAUGAAAAUCAGUAGCAAUUCAAAAUCACUUCAAAAAGUCUAAGUUCUCUAGCAAAUUAUACUUGAUUAUGCUUGAUUAGGAGGCUUAGACACUAAUCCAGCAAGGCAAAAGUCAAAUUUUCCCUUGAAAGCUCAAUUUUGGGUUAAAUUCGAAACUUGAAAUUUCGUACAGAAACUUAAGAUUCUGUCAAACCGAAAGUUGUAGAUUUUUACAUUUCUAGCAACUAUUCCAAUUAGCACUUUGAAUGGUUUGGAGAGUAAGAGGUUCAAAAGCUAGAAUGAAAAUCAGUAGCAAUUCAAAAUCACUUCAAAAAUUCUAAGUGCUCUAGCAAAUUAUACUUGGUUAUGCUUGAUUAGGAGGCUUAGACACUAAUCCAGCAAGUGAAAUGUCAAAUUUGCCCUUGAAAGCUCAAUUUUGGGUUAAAUUCGAAACUUGAAAUUUCGUAUAGAAACUUAAGAUUCUGUCAAACUGAAAGUUGUUGAUUUUUACAUUUCUAGCAACUAUUCCUAUUAGCACUUUGAAAGGUUUGGAGAAUAAGACGUUCAAAAGCUAGAAUGAAAAUCAGUAGCAAUUCAAAAUCUCUUCAAAAACUCUAAGUGCUCUAGCAAAUUAUACUUGGUUAGGCUUGAUUAGGAGGCUUAAACACCAAUCCAACAAGUGAAAAGUCAAAUUUGCCCUUAACAACUCAAUUUUGGGUUAAAUUCGAAACCUGAAAUUUCGUACAGAAACUUAAGAUUCUGUCAAACGAAAGGUUGUAGAAUUUUACAUUUCUAGCAACUUUUCGUCGUAGCACUUUGAAUGGUUUGGAGAAAAAGAGGUCCAAAAGCUAGAAUCAAAAUCAGUAGCAAUUCAAAAUCACUUCAAAAACUCUAAGUGCUCUAGCAAAUUAUACUUGGUUACGCUUGAUUAGGAGUCUUAGACACUAAUCCAGCAAGUGAAAAGUCAAAUUUGUCCUUGAAAGCUCAAUUGUGGGUUAAAUUCAAAACUUGAAACCUUGUAUAAAAACCUAAAUUUUUGUCAAACUAAAAGUUGUAGAGUUUUACAUUUCUAGCAACUUUUCUAAUGAGCACUUUGGAUGGUUUCGGGAGGAAGAGUUUCAAAAGCUAGAAUGAAAAUAAGUAGCAAUUCAAAAUCAAUUCAAAAACUCUAAGUUCUCUAGCAAAUUAUACUUGGUUACGCUUGAUUAGGAGGCUUAGACACUAAUCCAACAAAUGAAAAGUCAAAUUUGCCCUUGAAAGCUCAAUUUUGGGUUAAAUUCGAAACUUGGAAUUUUGUAUAGAAACAUAAGUUUUUGUCAAACGAAAAGUUGUAGAGUUUUACAUUUCUAGCAACUUUUCUUAUUAGCACUUUGAAUGGUUUGGAGAGGAAUAGGUCCAAAAGCUAGAAUCAAAAUCAGUAGCAAUUCAAAAUCACAUCAAAAAACUCUAAGUGCUCUAGCAAAUUAUACUUGGUUACGCUUGAUUAGGAGGUUUAAACACUAAUCCAGCAAGUGAAAAGUCAAAUUUGCCCUUGAAAGCUCAAUUUUUGAAUUAAAAAUCAAUUCAAAAACUCUAAGUUCUCUAGCAAAUUAUACUUGGUUAGUCUUGAUUAGGAGGCUUAGACACUAAUCCAGCAAGUCAAAAGUCAAAUUUGCCCUUAAAAGCUCAAUUUUAGGUUAAAUUCAAAACAUGAAAUUUUGUAUAGAAACCUAAGUUUUUGUCAAACUAAAAGUUGUAGAGUUUGACAUUUCUAGCAACUUUUCUUAUUAGCACUUUGAAUGGUUUGGAGGGGAAGAGGUUCACAAGCUAGAAUCAAAAUCAGUAGCAAUUCAAAAUAACUUCAAAAACUCUAAGUGCUGUAGCAAAUUAUACUUGGUUACGCUUUAUUAGGAGGCUUAGACACUAAUCCAGCAAGUGAAAAAUCAAAUUUGUCCUUGAAAGCUCAAUUUUGGGUUAAAUUCAAAACUUGAAACCUUGUAUAAAAACCUAAAUUUUUGUCAAACUAAAAGUGGUAGAGUUUUACAUUUCUAGCAACUUUUCUAAUGAGCACUUUGGAUGGUUUGGAGGGGAAGAGGUUCAAAAGCUAGAAUCAAAAUCAGUAGCAAUUCAAAAUCACUUCAAAAACUCUAAGUGCUCUAGCAAAUUAUACUUGGUUACGCUUGAUUAGGAGGCUUAAACACUAAUCCAGCAAGUGAAAAGUCAAAUUUGCCCUUGAAAGCUCAAUUUUUGAAUUAAAAAUCAAUUCAAAAACUCUAAGUUCUCUAGCAAAUUAUACUUGGUUAGUCUUGAUUAGGAGGCUUAGACACUAAUCCAGCAAGUCAAAAGUCAAAUUUGCCCUUAAAAGCUCAAUUUUAGGUUAAAUUCAAAACUUGAAAUUUUGUAUAGAAACCUAAGUUUUUGUCAAACUAAAAGUUGUAGAGUUUACAUUUUUAGCAACUUUUUUUAUUAGCACUUUGAAUGGUUUGGAGGGGAAGAGGUUCACAAGCUAGAAUCAAAAUCAGUAGCAAUUCAAAAUCACUUAAAAAACUCUAAGUGCUCUAGCAAAUUAUACUUGGUUACGCUUGAUUAGGAGGCUUAGACACUAAUCCUACAAGUGAAAAGUCAAAUGUGCCCUUGAAAGCUCAAUUUUGGGUUAAAUUCGAAACUUGGAAUUUUGUAUAGAAACAUAAGUUUUUGUCAAACGAAAAGUUGUAAAGUUUUACAUUUCUAGCAACUUUUCUUAUUAGCACUUUGAAUGGUUUGGAGAGGAAUAGGUCCAAAAGCUAGAAUCAAAAUCAGUAGCAAUUCAAAAUCACAUCAAAAAACUCUAAGUGCUCUAGCAAAUUAUACUUGGUUACGCUUGAUUAGGAGGUUUAAACACUAAUCCAGCAAGUGAAAAGUCAAAUUUGCCCUUGAAAGCUCAAUUUUUGAAUUAAAAAUCAAUUCAAAAACUCUAAGUUCUCUAGCAAAUUAUACUUGGUUAGUCUUGAUUAGGAGGCUUAGACACUAAUCCAGCAAGUCAAAAGUCAAAUUUGCCCUUAAAAGCUCAAUUUUAGGUUAAAUUCAAAACAUGAAAUUUUGUAUAGAAACCUAAGUUUUUGUCAAACUAAAAGUUGUAGAGUUUUACAUUUCUAGCAACUUUUCUAAUGAGCACUUUGGAUGGUUUCGGGAGGAAGAGUUUCAAAAGCUAGAAUGAAAAUAAGUAGCAAUUCAAAAUCAAUUCAAAAACUCUAAGUUCUCUAGCAAAUUAUACUUGGUUACGCUUGAUUAGGAGGCUUAGACACUAAUCCAACAAAUGAAAAGUCAAAUUUGCCCUUGAAAGCUCAAUUUUGGGUUAAAUUCGAAACUUGGAAUUUUGUAUAGAAACAUAAGUUUUUGUCAAACGAAAAGUUGUAGAGUUUUACAUUUCUAGCAACUUUUCUUAUUAGCACUUUGAAUGGUUUGGAGAGGAAUAGGUCCAAAAGCUAGAAUCAAAAUCAGUAGCAAUUCAAAAUCACAUCAAAAAACUCUAAGUGCUCUAGCAAAUUAUACUUGGUUACGCUUGAUUAGGAGGUUUAAACACUAAUCCAGCAAGUGAAAAGUCAAAUUUGCCCUUGAAAGCUCAAUUUUUGAAUUAAAAAUCAAUUCAAAAACUCUAAGUUCUCUAGCAAAUUAUACUUGGUUAGUCUUGAUUAGGAGGCUUAGACACUAAUCCAGCAAGUCAAAAGUCAAAUUUGCCCUUAAAAGCUCAAUUUUAGGUUAAAUUCAAAACAUGAAAUUUUGUAUAGAAACCUAAGUUUUUGUCAAACUAAAAGUUGUAGAGUUUUACAUUUCUAGCAACUUUUCUUAUUAGCACUUUGAAUGGUUUGGAGGGGAAGAGGUUCACAAGCUAGAAUCAAAAUCAGUAGCAAUUCAAAAUAACUUCAAAAACUCUAAGUGCUGUAGCAAAUUAUACUUGGUUACGCUUUAUUAGGAGGCUUAGACACUAAUCCAGCAAGUGAAAAAUCAAAUUUGUCCUUGAAAGCUCAAUUUUGGGUUAAAUUCAAAACUUGAAACCUUGUAUAAAAACCUAAAUUUUUGUCAAACUAAAAGUGGUAGAGUUUUACAUUUCUAGCAACUUUUCUAAUGAGCACUUUGGAUGGUUUGGAGGGGAAGAGGUUCAAAAGCUAGAAUCAAAAUCAGUAGCAAUUCAAAAUCACUUCAAAAACUCUAAGUGCUCUAGCAAAUUAUACUUGGUUACGCUUGAUUAGGAGGCUUAAACACUAAUCCAGCAAGUGAAAAGUCAAAUUUGCCCUUGAAAGCUCAAUUUUUGAAUUAAAAAUCAAUUCAAAAACUCUAAGUUCUCUAGCAAAUUAUACUUGGUUAGUCUUGAUUAGGAGGCUUAGACACUAAUCCAGCAAGUCAAAAGUCAAAUUUGCCCUUAAAAGCUCAAUUUUAGGUUAAAUUCAAAACUUGAAAUUUUGUAUAGAAACCUAAGUUUUUGUCAAACUAAAAGUUGUAGAGUUUACAUUUUUAGCAACUUUUUUUAUUAGCACUUUGAAUGGUUUGGAGGGGAAGAGGUUCACAAGCUAGAAUCAAAAUCAGUAGCAAUUCAAAAUCACUUAAAAAACUCUAAGUGCUCUAGCAAAUUAUACUUGGUUACGCUUGAUUAGGAGGCUUAGACACUAAUCCUACAAGUGAAAAGUCAAAUGUGCCCUUGAAAGCUCAAUUUUGGGUUAAAUUCGAAACUUGGAAUUUUGUAUAGAAACAUAAGUUUUUGUCAAACGAAAAGUUGUAAAGUUUUACAUUUCUAGCAACUUUUCUUAUUAGCACUUUGAAUGGUUUGGAGAGGAAUAGGUCCAAAAGCUAGAAUCAAAAUCAGUAGCAAUUCAAAAUCACAUCAAAAAACUCUAAGUGCUCUAGCAAAUUAUACUUGGUUACGCUUGAUUAGGAGGUUUAAACACUAAUCCAGCAAGUGAAAAGUCAAAUUUGCCCUUGAAAGCUCAAUUUUUGAAUUAAAAAUCAAUUCAAAAACUCUAAGUUCUCUAGCAAAUUAUACUUGGUUAGUCUUGAUUAGGAGGCUUAGACACUAAUCCAGCAAGUCAAAAGUCAAAUUUGCCCUUAAAAGCUCAAUUUUAGGUUAAAUUCAAAACAUGAAAUUUUGUAUAGAAACCUAAGUUUUUGUCAAACUAAAAGUUGUAGAGUUUUACAUUUCUAGCAACUUUUCUUAUUAGCACUUUGAAUGGUUUGGAGGGGAAGAGGUUCACAAGCUAGAAUCAAAAUAAGUAGCAAUUCAAAAUCACUUCAAAAACUCUAAGUGCUCUAGCAAAUUAUACUUGGUUACGCUUGAUUAGGAGGCUUAGACACUAAUCCAACAACUGAAAAGUCAAAUUUGCCCUUGAAAGCUCAAUUUUGGGUUAAAUUCGAAACUUGGAAUUUUGUAUAGAAACAUAAGUUUUUGUCAAACGAAAAGUUGUAGAGUUUUACAUUUCUAGCAAGUUUUCUUAUUAGCACUUUGAAUGGUUUGGAGAGGAAUAGGUCCAAAGGCUAGAAUCAAAAUUAGUAGCAAUUCAAAAUCACUUCAAAAACUCUAAGUGCUGUAGCAAAUUAUACUUGGUUACGCUUGAUUAGGAGGCUUAGACACUAAUCCAGCAAGUGAAAAGUCAAAUUUGUCCUUGAAAGCUCAAUUUUGGGUUAAAUUCAAAACUUGAAACCUUGUAUAAAAACCUAAAUUUUUGUCAAACUAAAAGUGGUAGAGUUUUACAUUUCUAGCAACUUUUCUAAUGAGCACUUUGGAUGGUUUGGAGGGGAAGAGGUUCAAAAGCUAGAAUCAAAAUCAGUAGCAAUUCAAAAUCACUUCAAAAACUCUAAGUGCUCUAGCAAAUUAUACUUGGUUACGCUUGAUUAGGAGGCUUAAACACUAAUCCAGCAAGUGAAAAGUCAAAUUUGCCCUUGAAAGAUCAAUUUUUGAAUUAAAAAUCAAUUCAAAAACUCUAAGUUCUCUAGCAAAUUAUACUUGGUUAGUCUUGAUUAGGAGGCUUAGACACUAAUCCAGCAAGUCAAAAGUCAAAUUUGCCCUUAAAAGCUCAAUUUUAGGUUAAAUUCAAAACUUGAAAUUUUGUAUAGAAACCUAAGUUUUUGUCAAACUAAAAGUUGUAGAGUUUACAUUUGUAGCAACUUUUCUUAUUAGCACUUUGAAUGGUUUGGAGGGGAAGAGGUUCACAAGCUAGAAUCAAAAUCAGUAGCAAUUCAAAAUCACUUAAAAAACUCUAAGUGCUCUAGCAAAUUAUACUUGGUUACGCUUGAUUAGGAGGCUUAGACACUAAUCCAACAAGUGAAAAGUCAAAUGUGCCCUUGAAAGCUCAAUUUUGGGUUAAAUUCGAAACUUGGAAUUUUGUAUAGAAACAUAAGUUUUUGUCAAACGAAAAGUUGUAGAGUUUUACAUUUCUAGCAACUUUUCUUAUUAGCACUUUGAAUGGUUUGGAGAGGAAGAGGUCCAAAAGCUAGAAUCAAAAUCAGUAGCAAUUCAAAAUCACUUCAAAAACUCUAAGUGCUCUAGCAAAUUAUACUUGGUUACGCUUGAUUAGGAGUCUUAGACACUAAUCCAGCAAGUGAAAAGUCAAAUUAUUCCUCGAAAGCUCAAUUGUGGGUUAAAUUCAAAACUUGAAACCUUGUAUAAAAACCUAAAUUUUUGUCAAACUAAAAGUUGUAGAGUUUUACAUUUCUAGCAACUUUUCUAAUGAGCACUUUGGAUGGUUUCGAGAGGAAGAGGUUCAAAAGCUAGAAUGAAAAUAAGUAGCAAUUCAAAAUCAAUUCAAAAACUCUAUGUUCUCUAGCAAAUUAUACUUGGUUAGGCUUGAUUAGGAGGCUUAGACACUAAUCCAGCAAGUCAAAAGUCAAAUUUGCCCUUAAAAGCUCAAUUUUAGGUUAAAUUCAAAACAUGAAAUUUUGUAUAGAAACCUAAGUUUUUGUCAAACGAAAAGUUGUAGAGUUUUACAUUUCUAGCAACUUUUCUUAUUAGCACUUUGAAUGGUUUGGAGGGAAGAGGUUCACAAGCUAGAAUCAAAAUCAGUAGCAAUUCAAAAUCACUUCAAAAACUCUAAGUGCUCUAGCAAAGUAUACUUGGUUACGCUUGAUUAGGAGGCUUAGACACUAAUCCAACAAAUGAAAAGUCAAAUUUGCCCUUGAAAGCUCAAUUUUGGGUUAAAUUCGAAACUUGGAAUUUUUUAUAGAAACAUAAGUUUUUGUCAAACGAAAAGUUGUAGAGUUUUACAUUUCUAGCAACUUUUCUUAUUAGCACUUUGAAUGGUUUGGAGAGGAAUAGGUCCAAAAGCUAGAAUCAAAAUCAGUAGCAAUUCAAAAUCACUUCAAAACUAAGUGCUCUAGCAAAUUAUACUUGGUUACGCUUGAUUAGGAGGCUUAGACACUAAUCCAGCAAGUGAAAAGUCAAAUUUGUCCUUGAAAGCUCAAUUUUGGGUUAAAUUCAAAACUUGAAACCUUGUAUAAAAACCUAAAUUUUUGUCAAACUAAAAGUUGUAGAGUUUUACAUUUCUAGCAACUUUUCUAAUGAGCACUUUGGAUGGUUUGGAGGGGAAGAGGUUCAAAAGCUAGAAUCAAAAUCAGUAGCAAUUCAAAAUCACUUCAAAAACUCUAAGUGCUCUAGCAAAUUAUACUUGGUUACGCUUGAUUAGGAGGCUUAGACACUAAUCCAGCAAGUGAAAAGUCAAAUUUGCCCUUGAAAGCUCAAUUUUUGAAUUAAAAAUCAAUUCAAAAACUCUAAGUUCUCUAGCAAAUUAUACUUGGUUAGUCUUGAUUAGGAGGCUUAGACACUAAUCCAGCAAGUCAAAAGUCAAAUUUGCCCUUAAAAGCUCAAUUUUAGGUUAAAUUCAAAACUUGAAAUUUUGUAUAGAAACCUAAGUUUUUGUCAAACUAAAAGUUGUAGAGUUUACAUUUCUAGCAACUUUUCUAUUUAGCACUUUGAAUGGUUUGGAGGGGAAGAGGUUCACAAGCAAGAAUCAAAAUCAGUAGCAAUUCAAAAUCACUUAAAAAACUCUAAGUGCUCUAGCAAAUUAUACUUGGUUACGCUUGAUUAGGAGGCUUAGACACUAAUCCAACAAGUGAAAAGUCAAAUGUGCCCUUGAAAGCUCAAUUUUGGGUUAAAUUCGAAACUUGGAAUUUUGUAUAGAAACAUAAGUUUUUGUCAAACGAAAAGUUGUAGAGUUUUACAUUUCUAGCAACUUUUCUUAUUAGCACUUUGAAUGGUUUGGAGAGGAAGAGGUCCAAAAGCUAGAAUCAAAAUCAGUAGCAAUUCAAAAUCACUUCAAAAACUCUAAGUGCUCUAGCAAAUUAUACUUGGUUACGCUUGAUUAGGAGUCUUAGACACUAAUCCAGCAAGUGAAAAGUCAAAUUAUUCCUUGAAAGCUCAAUUGUGGGUUAAAUUCAAAACUUGAAACCUUGUAUAAAAACCUAAAUUUUUGUCAAACUAAAAGUUGUAGAGUUUUACAUUUCUAGCAACUUUUCUAAUGAGCACUUUGGAUGGUUUCGAGAGGAAGAGGUUCAAAAGCUAGAAUGAAAAUAAGUAGCAAUUCAAAAUCAAUUCAAAAACUCUAAGUUCUCUAGCAAAUUAUACUUGGUUAGGCUUGAUUAGGAGGCUUAGACACUAAUCCAGCAAGUCAAAAGUCAAAUUUGCCCUUAAAAGCUCAAUUUUAGGUUAAAUUCAAAACAUGAAAUUUUGUAUAGAAACCUAAGUUUUUGUCAAAAGAAAAGUUGUAGAGUUUUACAUUUCUAGCAACUUUUCUUAUUAGCACUUUGAAUGGUUUGGAGGGAAGAGGUUCACAAGCUAGAAUCAAAAUCAGUAGUAAUUCAAAAUCACUUCAAAAACUCUAAGUGCUCUAGCAAAUUAUACUUGGUUAGUCUUGAUUAGGAGGCUUAGACACUAAUCCAACAACUGAAAAGUCAAAUUUGCCCUUGAAAGCUCAAUUUUGGGUUAAAUUCGAAACUUGGAAUUUUGUAUAGAAACAUAAGUUUUUGUCAAACGAAAAGUUGUAGAGUUUUACAUUUCUAGCAACUUUUCUUAUUAGCACUUUGAAUGGUUUGGAGAGGAACAGGUCCAAAAGCUAGAAUCAAAAUCAGUAGCAAUUCAAAAUCACUUCAAAAACUCUAAGUGCUCUAGCAAAUUAUACUUGGUUACGCUUGAUUAGGAGGCUUAGACACUAAUCCAACAAAUGAAAAGUCAAAUUUGCCCUUGAAAGCUCAAUUUUGGGUUAAAUUCGAAACUUGGAAUUUUGUAUAGAAACAUAAGUUUUUGUCAAACGAAAAGUUGUAGAGUUUUACAUUUCUAGCAACUUUUCUUAUUAGCACUUUGAAUGGUUUGGAGAGGAAUAGGUCCAAAAGCUAGAAUCAAAAUCAGUAGCAAUUCAAAAUCACUUCAAAAACUCUAAGUGCUCUAGCAAAUUAUACUUGGUUACGCUUGAUUAGGAGGCUUAGACACUAAUCCAGCAAGUGAAAAGUCAAAUUUGUCCUUGAAAGCUCAAUUUUGGGUUAAAUUCAAAACUUGAAACCUUGUAUAAAAACCUAAAUUUUUGUCAAACUAAAAGUUGUAGAGUUUUACAUUUCUAGCAACUUUUCUAAUGAGCACUUUGGAUGGUUUGGAGGGGAAGAGGUUCAAAAGCUAGAAUCAAAAUCAGUAGCAAUUCAAAAUCACUUCAAAAACUCUAAGUGCUCUAGCAAAUUAUACUUGGUUACGCUUGAUUAGGAGGCUUAGACACUAAUCUAGCAAGUGAAAAGUCAAAUUUGUCCUUGAAAGCUCAAUUUUUGAAUUAAAAAUCAAUUCAAAAACUCUAAGUUCUCUAGCAAAUUAUACUUGGUUAGUCUUGAUUAGGAGGCUUAGACACUAAUCCAGCAAGUCAAAAGUCAAAUUUGCCCUUAAAAGCUCAAUUUUAGGUUAAAUUCAAAACUUGAAAUUUUGUAUAGAAACCUAAGUUUUUGUCAAACUAAAAGUUGUAGAGUUUACAUUUCUAGCAACUUUUCUUAUUAGCACUUUGAAUGGUUUGGAGGGGAAGAGGUUCACAAGCUAGAAUCAAAAUCAGUAGCAAUUCAAAAUCACUUAAAAAACUCUAAGUGCUCUAGCAAAUUAUACUUGGUUACGCUUGAUUAGGAGGCUUAGACACUAAUCCAACAAGUGAAAAGUCAAAUUUGCCCUUGAAAGCUCAAUUUUGGGUUAAAUUCGAAACUUGGAAUUUUGUAUAGAAACAUAAGUUUUUGUCAAACGAAAAGUUGUAGAGUUUUACAUUUCUAGCAACUUUUCUUAUUAGCACUUUGAAUGGUUUGGAGAGGAAGAGGUCCAAAAGCUAGAAUCAAAAUCAGUAGCAAUUCAAAAUCACUUCAAAAACUCUAAGUGCUCUAGCAAAUUAUACUUGGUUACGCUUGAUUAGGAGGCUUAGACACUAAUCCAGCAAGUGAAAAGUCAAAUUUGUCCUUGAAAGCU